GGAUAUAGAUUAAAAAAAAAAAUUGUUAGUUUGAAUACUAAGAUGAAGUGUUUGUGUUUAUACGUAUAAAAACAAGAACAGCAGGAAGUACUCUGGGAAGAGACAUACUGACAAAGGAAUCACAAGCAAGAACGCUGUUUUCCUCAGUCUAAUGCAUAGAAUGUUACCUUCAGUGAACACUAUUAAAUGCAUAACAGUAAGCUUAUUUUUUACACUACACUCUUAAAAUCAUUUGCCUUAGUUUUUUGUUUUUUUUAAAGACGAGUUGAAGUUAUUUUUGUAUUAAACACUCCACCUAUUUUUUUUGCAGUCUAAGAUACCAUGAUAGGUUAGGGUCGGGUCUGCAUCCAGCAAGAUGUCACUAACUCCGAAGGUAGUGGUCUUGGCGUCCUUUUAAGUAAUUUAGUCAUUUAUUGCCACGAGAAGCGUGAGCAGCCAAGAUAGGGCUUAACGUGGUGCUUUACUAAAGUGACUUCCUUUUGAGCAGUGUCAGGUCCACUGAUAACGUUCGGUCGACCUUUUAAAAGUGUCAUAGCAUCUUAGUGGAGUAACUAUAAACCGUUAGCUGAGGGCUAGUAAAAUAUCAUGCACUGUUUUCCAUUCUCCAAUUGCAAGCAGAGUUAAAGACACAGCUAAACUGGUAUGUUGGGUAGUUUGCGUUUUCCUCCUUCCAGAUCAUUCGACCGUGUCCCCGGGGACAGGUCAGACUCGGGGCCCUGGCUCUCUGACCGUCUCGCCUGGAUGGAAUGCUCUGUGCCUUUUCCCUGUGUUGUCGUUGCUUGAGUUGCUUCCGCUGGCCAGCGUGUGCCGGCUAAUCACGGGGUUUGAUUAUUUUUGUUGUUCUGGGUCUUAUGUGUGUGUGGCCUGCUGGUCAGGCAGCACUUUAUUAUAAUUUUUUUUUUAGGUUGCUUUAUGUUUACGUAAGGAAAUAGGCACUCACGUACUUGUGUGAAUAUUUGCUGUUUGUGUUUUUCUGUCUCUUUUGGCCUUCAUAGUCACCGCAGACACUCCCAGGCCGGGCUCUAUGCGCUUCUUAGAGGAAUCUAACAAAUAAAAUAAAACGAGUUGUGUGUCUGUCUCUCUGUGUCCUCCUCCCUCCCUCCCUCCCUCCCCGGCCCCCCAGUUUUUUAACAAUAAUCAGUCACCAUAACCACACAGCUCUCUACUGAGUGGCUUCUGAGUUCAGUUUGCCUCGAACUGAACAAGAGGUGGUGAUGGCUUGAGAUGAGUUUGCCCUUAGGAGCAGGAGCGACCCAGCCAACCGGCGAACAGCUUGAGCGUAUCAGCACGGGCAGAGGGAGGACUUUGAAAGUCGCGUUGGGGUGGCUCGAAGAUUCCGUGCCAAAUUUAAAACGAUGAGAAUGUACAAGAAGCCGGUGGCUUUUCUAAGACUUUAAAUAGGGUCAUGGGCAAGUGUUACCUGCUGUUAGAAAGAAUGAUGGGUAAUGUGAGAAUCGUUUUCUAACCCGCUUAGAAAAUUGGACAAUUCUUUCUUAGGCCCUUCGCUUGCUUUUGCGUUGUCUCUCGGUAAAGUCUGCAGGGGUUACCUGAGGGGGAUCGGCCUCUAUUUCCUUCCAAACUAUUUCUCCUUCACGGUCCUUUUAUGCUGGAAUGUUAGCAUGUCCUCUGCACCUCCUUUGGAAGUAGCCUUAAUAAGACAAAAGUAAUAGGAUGAGCUUGUAUGGUAGGUGAGAGAUUUUGGUAGAGAGAAAGCCUACGUUUUGUUUCCUCCUCACCCAUCAACUUGUUAUGUAUCGAUUGAUCUUAAGUCUAUGACUAUUGGAAAAAUUCCCAAAGAAUCUAAAUUUGGCCUCUUGUAGCCAUUAUAUAAAUAGAAAUGAAGAUUAUAUUCACGGAAUAGAGGUUAUACAGAGACGACAAACCCCCCCUCCUCCCCCCAAUUCUUAAGUAUUGUCAGUGCUUGCAUUACUUUUGGAAAUUCUAAAGCAUUUCUUGAAUAGAACAG
Molecule: long non-coding RNA, 1966 nt
Organism: Myotis davidii
Lineage: Eukaryota; Metazoa; Chordata; Mammalia; Chiroptera; Vespertilionidae
Exons: 2
Source: RefSeq, a predicted model, not a curated record